UAAGACUAACUUUUCAGGGAUCAUUUCUAUAGUUUGUUAUUAGAGAAGUUUCUCUGAACGUGUAGAGCACCGUU
This is a small nucleolar RNA of Macaca mulatta (Rhesus monkey), 74 nucleotides long. Its record names the gene U3. It matches the Rfam family "Small nucleolar RNA U3". From Rfam's summary of the family: Small nucleolar RNAs (snoRNAs) are involved in the processing and modification of rRNA in the nucleolus. The record is from Ensembl. Lineage: Eukaryota; Metazoa; Chordata; Mammalia; Primates; Cercopithecidae.